RNAcentral lists this ribosomal RNA (494 nucleotides) under uncultured bacterium. Its description in RNAcentral is "partial 16S ribosomal RNA". It matches the Rfam family "Bacterial small subunit ribosomal RNA", at positions 28 to 507 of the family's 1533-position model. The record is from RNAcentral.
GACGAACGCUGGCGGCGUGCUUAACACAUGCAAGUCGAACGGUGAAGCGCCUUCCUUUUUGGUGGGUGUGGAUGAGUGGCGAACGGGUGAGUAACACGUAAGUAACCUGCCCCCUUCUUCUGGAUAACCGCAUGAAAGUGUGGCUAAUACGGGAUAUUCUGGGUCUGUCGCAUGAUGGGUCUGGGAAAGAUAUUGUUUCGGUGGGGGAUGGGCUCGCGGCCUAUCAGCUUGUUGGUGGGGUGAUGGCCUACCAAGGCGGUGACGGGUAGCCGGCCUGAGAGGGUGGACGGUCACACUGGGACUGAGACACGGCCCAGACUCCUACGAGAGGCAGCAGUGGGGAAUAUUGCACAAUGGGCGCAAGCCUGAUGCAGCGACGCCGCGUGAGGGAUGGAGGCCUUCGGGUUGUGAACCUCUUUCGCCAGUGAAGCAGGCCUGCCUCGUUUGUGGGUGGGUUGACGGUAGCUGGAUAAGAAGCGCCGGCUAACUACGUG